This 429-nucleotide ribosomal RNA is filed under the name Acidobacteriota bacterium. RNAcentral describes it as "Acidobacteria bacterium partial 16S ribosomal RNA". It matches the Rfam family "Bacterial small subunit ribosomal RNA", at positions 355 to 776 of the family's 1533-position model. The record is from RNAcentral. Lineage: Bacteria; Pseudomonadati; Acidobacteriota.
UGGGGAAUUUUGGACAAUGGGCGAAAGCCUGAUCCAGCAAUGCCGCGUGUGUGAAGAAGGCCUUCGGGUUGUAAAGCACUUUUGUCCGGAAAGAAAUGGCUCUGGUUAAUACCUGGGGUCGAUGACGGUACCGGAAGAAUAAGGACCGGCUAACUACGUGCCAGCAGCCGCGGUAAUACGUAGGGUCCAAGCGUUAAUCAGAAUUACUGGGCGUAAAGCGUGCGCAGGCGGUUGUGCAAGACCGAUGUAAAAUCCCCGAGCUUAACUUGGGACUUGCAUUGGGGACUGCACGGCUAGAGUUUGUCAGAGGGGGGUAGAAUUCCACGUGUAGCAGUGAAAUGCGUAGAGAUGUGGAUGAAUACCGAUGGCGAAGGCAGCCCCCUGGGAUAACACUGACGAUCAUGCACGAAAGCGUGUGGAGCAAACAGG